AAGAAACCAGUAAGGAAACAAACACAUUUGCAGGUAGAGUAGGAAAGGAGAACCAAAUGAGUUGGGCAAGGAAAGCUGUGUUGCGUGAUUUACGAUCAGUCUCCACAAAGUUAAGUCAUAGACAAUGAAAACUUGUUAAUUUUCAUUAAGGCAGACUAAGAUUUAUUUUGUGAAGUGACUGUUUUAUCUCUAAUUUAGAAACGCAUUGAGCCAAACAGCUCCACAGGCAGCAGAACCCGUCCCCUUGGAAAAUGCUUGGUAGUUCCCUUUGCAUUCCUAAAUUGGUACUCCCAGCCCCAGACAGGAAGUCCCGCCCUCCACCGGAAAAGAUGGAGGCUGGACUCAGAAGCUAGAGCUGGUCCUGUUCAUUCUACAAAUACAUGCUAAGUGGCUACUGUGUGCCGGGCUCUGAUCUGAGUGCUGAGGACACAGUUGAGGUGUGUCACAGAGCUUACCUUCUAAUGAGAGAGGAAAGACAAUAAACAGUGCCAACACCCAAGAAAAUGAGAUGCAAUGGAUUACAAUUGAAACUGUAACAAUGAGGACAAAAAGCAUUUUCAGAUCUCCAAGUUAAU
This is a long non-coding RNA of Leopardus geoffroyi (Geoffroy's cat), 575 nucleotides long. RefSeq lists it as uncharacterized. The transcript has 3 exons. NCBI's taxonomy places the organism in Eukaryota, Metazoa, Chordata, Mammalia, Carnivora, Felidae. The record is from RefSeq and is a predicted model, not a curated record.